This 1008-nucleotide ribosomal RNA is filed under the name uncultured bacterium. Its description in RNAcentral is "bacterial SSU rRNA". It matches the Rfam family "Bacterial small subunit ribosomal RNA", at positions 335 to 1341 of the family's 1533-position model. The record is from RNAcentral.
ACUCCUACGGGAGGCAGCAGUGGGGAAUUUUGGACAAUGGGCGAAAGCCUGAUCCAGCAAUGCCGCGUGAGUGAAGAAGGCCUUCGGGUUGUAAAGCUCUUUUGUCAGGGAAGAAACGGUGUGGGCUAAUAUCCCGUACUAAUGACGGUACCUGAAGAAUAAGCACCGGCUAACUACGUGCCAGCAGCCGCGGUAAUACGUAGGGUGCAAGCGUUAAUCGGAAUUACUGGGCGUAAAGCGUGCGCAGGCGGUUUUGUAAGUUUGUCGUGAAAUCCCCGGGCUCAACCUGGGAAUUGCGAUGAAGACUGCAAGGCUAGAAUCUGGCAGAGGGGGGUAGAAUUCCACGUGUAGCAGUGAAAUGCGUAGAGAUGUGGAGGAACACCGAUGGCGAAGGCAGCCCCCUGGGUCAAGAUUGACGCUCAUGCACGAAAGCGUGGGGAGCAAACAGGAUUAGAUACCCUGGUAGUCCACGCCCUAAACGAUGUCUACUAGUUGUCGGGUUUUAAUUAACUUGGUAACGCAGCUAACGCGUGAAGUAGACCGCCUGGGGAGUACGGUCGCAAGAUUAAAACUCAAAGGAAUUGACGGGGACCCGCACAAGCGGUGGAUGAUGUGGAUUAAUUCGAUGCAACGCGAAAAACCUUACCUACCCUUGACAUGUACGGAAGCCACGAGAGAUCGAGGUGUGCUCGAAAGAGAGCCGUAACGCAGGUGCUGCAUGGCUGUCGUCAGCUCGUGUCGUGAGGUGUUGGGUUAAGUCCCGCAACGAGCGCAACCCUUGUCAUUAGUUGCUACGAAAGAGCACUCUAAUGAGACUGCCGGUGACAAACCGGAGGAAGGUGGGGAUGACGUCAAGUCCUCAUGGCCCUUAUGGGUAGGGCUUCACACGUCAUACAAUGGUACAUACAGAGGGCCGCCAACCCGCGAGGGGGAGCUAAUCCCAGAAAGUGUAUCGUAGUCCGGAUUGUAGUCUGCAACUCGACUACAUGAAGUUGGAAUCGCUAGUAA